GCCGGGCCCCCCUGCCUCGUCCUGCCCGCGCGUCGGGGCCGGCGCGGUGCUGCUGGCGCGGCCCGGACAGUGGCAGGUGUGCCACCUUGGAGGUUUCUUUUUGAAGUUUCAACUGAUAUACAAACUUAUUGUGAGUUACCUGCCCUGUCACUACGGCGGUGGGAGAGACUGAAGACGAGAGCAACGCCAAGUCCGAAGACUUCAAAUGAAAAAAGCUGGCUGGGAGAACUUUGCCGAGAAGAGAUCCGCAGCAGAGCCGCGGUGGAAAUGGCUCCAGCAACACAGUUGCAAUUCUCGCAGCUGUGUGAGAGAGCCGGGGGUAAAUGCUGCCCCUGUGCAGCUGAUCCCUCUCAGAAGAACGGAGUUUGGGCAAGAAGUACUGUCUGGAGAUCUAAGAAUAUACAUGAAGUCAUCAUUACUGAUGGAAGGAAGCAGGGGAAAGCUGCAAAACUACUGGAGAACUGCACAUUCAUUAUGUGCAAAAAAAGAAAAAAGAAAAAAAAAGAAAGAAAAAGAAAGAAAAAGAGAAAGUAGUAUUAGAGCACCUUCUCCUCCCUGGACCUGGCUUUUCUCCUUUAUCAGCCAGCAAUUGGACUAUCACUUCGACAGUGUAUAGCACCCCACAAUAAAGAGCCUAAGGAGAGUCCUUCAGCUGAUGUCUGCUGGCCCAACGUGCCAAGCAGCAGAAGGCGGAGUAACAAAGACUCACAGAAAGCUGUUGGAAACAAUCAUUGGCAAUAUCGCUAAUAAGACAUACUAAAAAGUCAUAUGGAAACCCUUAAAAACAAUUUUUUCCUCAGUAGCUCACUCUUGAACUUUUAGGAUCAUGCCAGGGUUGUGUUUUGAAUUUAUUUUUCACAAGCCUGAGAGCUAACUACUUACUUUUAUAAAAGACAUGUAAGCUUGAGAUUGUCUCAUAUUCAAAUGACUUCUCACACCAGGAAUUAAAAAAAAAAAUAAAUAUCAUACAAAGUACUAAUUUCUACAGUGUUGAUAGCACUGCAAAAGCAGUUGUGGAGUCAUUAAUGCCCAGUGAUUCCCACACAGUUCUUAGUUUUGCUGUGUUAGAUUGUGUUUGCAGUGGAGCUAGCACCUCCAACCCAUGGUGUGAUCCUGGGAGGAAGAUCUCUGUAUUUGCAAAGUGCUGAGCUAGCUGCCUAUCAAAAAAGACCAGAAAAUUUUGUCUUCUGUCACAAGCACUUAAAGCUAAUAUCACAAUGAAAUGCUACAUAGGGAAAAUUUACACUAAGACCAGCUUUGUAAACCUUGAACACACUGAGGAAUAGUAUGUUUCUUGCAGACUUGCAUGGUAUUACAUUUUGCAGUCUCAGGCCCAGUCCUUACCUCAUGAUUCACUCAAACAAAACAUUUAUUGAAGCAAUUUGGAAUUUGGCAGGAAGAAAAAUAGAGAUAGUUCAAAAUCAAAAUACAGACAGAAACACUUUGGUCUUCUAGUGAAGUUUGGAUCCUUACACAGACCCAAAGUUUGCUGUUCAGAACUUAAUUCUCAUGUAAGAUUACAGAAGGACUUCCGAUGGGCCUCCAUCCGCUGAGCCCUGUGUAAGUAGGCUUUAACGAACGCCAUCUGUGGCUGUUCCACAGGCAUACCAAGUUCUUAAGGUACACAAUAAAGCGUUAUUUUUGUAAGAAUACUCUGUUCCCCACUUUGCCCCUGUAUUCCUCACCCAUUUGUUAUUCCCUCAUAAAGAACUGUUGCGUUAGAUGCUUCUUCGGUCCUAACCACUUUAAUCCUCCUCCUUUUGGUUUACUGUGGAGCAGCAGGUCUUGUCAGAGUGCUUGCGUGGAUUUUCUCUCAGUUGUUGGUAUUCGUGCUUGUCCUCCAAGUCUCUCUCUCUCUCCCUUUUAAGUAGUGAAAUCCUUUAUCUGUCCCCUCCUGACCCCCCCCUGCAUGUCUGGCUCCUGGGCAUCUACUUUACUUUUGUUCUCUGCUCCCCAGCAGCUGUCCUUGUUCUACUCAGCCACAGUAGCUCACAAUGGUUUGGUCUGCUUGUGCCCGUUCCCCUGGCUUCUGGGACACACAGAUGUCCAGCACUGUUUUCUGUGGUAAGAACUGAGGUAAUUCUUUCAAAUUGGACUUGACAGACCCCAAGUCAUAUCAAGGAGGAAAUUUAGCACAGUUCAGGGCAGAGGAGGCUCUGUGCCAUGCCCUGCUACACUGCUACACGCCUUGGUUUAGUUUGGAUAUUUCAGCGCCGAUUUCUGUGCGUUGUAAGUGUUCUGCAUUUCUCUCUCACUGCUGUUUAUGCUUCUUGCUAGAACUUCUGUUGGGUUUGAACAGCUAGGGCACCUGCCAGCACUCAUGCAGGGAAGGUUUCAGCCCUGGACCUCCACGGCGCUUUGGGAACAACGAAGGCCAUUGGAGAAACACAGUAUGGAAGCAUACAAUUUCUAGAAACAUUUCUCCAUAGCUUUUCCCAAGUGAGUAAUUCAGUUAGUGGAAAAAUAUAUACACAAUGCAAAUCAUCAGGUGGCCAAUGCUACAUAAUCUCUGCAAAUGCAUUUCCUCUCAAGAUACUUAAUGAAGCUGAGUUUCUAACAGUAUUUUUCUGUAAUUAAGACAGAACACGUUUUCAUUAAGGGUAAAUUAAUAAAAGUAAAUUAAAGAACAUAAAAGUGAUUGUUUCUCCUGUAGUCUUUGCACGCAUGCAUAUGCACGGACACACACACACACACUGAAGGAAAAAUGCUUGUCUUUGGCACGUAACCAAACCAGCGUUUUGGCUUUUGUGCCCCCUCUACUGGUUGGCCUUCGUACAUCUGUGUUAACGAAGAGCUACUACUGAGAUCGUUAGUGACACUAUCACAGUAACAGGAUUUGCCACGCUGAAAAAAACUAGAAAGGAUAAUAACUUUAAAAGCCCUACAGAACUGUAAUUUCAGAAUUAUUUGCUCUGAGCAUAUAUUCAGACUCAGAGUAUCUCCUUAAGUGUGAAGAUACGAUACAUCCAGCGUCACAUAGAACUGUAAAGCUUCCUUUGCAAAGGACCAUCUCCAAAACAUAGAAGACCUGUGCAAAUGGAUUGUUGUAUUGAUUCCUUUAUAACUUCCAGUGUCUUGGUAUAAAAUAUUUCCACUUCUUGUAUUAUUUCUCAUCAAAAAC
This is a long non-coding RNA of Gallus gallus (chicken), 3121 nucleotides long. Lineage: Eukaryota; Metazoa; Chordata; Aves; Galliformes; Phasianidae. The record is from Ensembl.